UACGUAGGAGACGAGCGUUGUCCGGAAUCAUUGGGCGUAAAGCGCGCGUAGGUGGCUUCGUAAGUCCGUUGUGAAAGUCAAAGGCUCAACCUUUGAAAGCCGAUGGAUACUGUGAAGCUAGAGUACGGAAGAGGCGAGUGGAAUUCCUGGUGUAGCGGUGGAAUGCGCAGAUAUCAGGAGGAACACCAAUAGCGAAGGCAGCUCGCUGGGACGUUACUGACAUUGAGGCGCGAAAGCGUGGGGAGCGAACAGG
This 253-nucleotide ribosomal RNA is filed under the name uncultured bacterium. RNAcentral describes it as "partial 16S ribosomal RNA". It matches the Rfam family "Bacterial small subunit ribosomal RNA", at positions 524 to 776 of the family's 1533-position model. The record is from RNAcentral.